ACCUAUAAGACUAGGGAUAACUUCGGGAAACCGGAGCUAAUUACCGGAUAACAUUUGGAACCGCAUGGGUUCUAAAAGUGAAGAUGGUUUUGCUAUCACUUAUAGAUGGACCCGCGCCGUAUUAGCUAGUUGGUAAGGUAACGGCUUACCAAGGCGACGAUACGUAGCCGACCUGAGAGGGUGAUCGGCCACACUGGAACUGAGACACGGUCCAGACUCCUACGGGAGGCAGCAGUAGGGAAUCUUCCGCAAUGGGCGAAAGCCUGACGGAGCAACGCCGCGUGAGUGGAAUGAAGGGUUUCGGCUACGUAAAACUCUGUUAUUAGGGAAGAACAAAUGUGUAAGUAACUGUGCACGUCUUGACGGUACCUAAUCAGAAAGCCACGGCUAACUACGUGCCAGCCGCUGC
RNAcentral lists this ribosomal RNA (409 nucleotides) under uncultured bacterium. Its description in RNAcentral is "bacterial SSU rRNA". It matches the Rfam family "Bacterial small subunit ribosomal RNA", at positions 128 to 518 of the family's 1533-position model. The record is from RNAcentral.